AAUUUUUAUCUGCUUUGUGGCCAGUUUUCUCCUGCUUGCUCUGCAGUGCAGCCUUGGCUCUCAGCAGAGCCCCAUCCUUGUUACAAGACUUGCAGCUGCCACACAACAGAGCUGUCUGGGAGUCCUUGAUGGGCGGGUGGUCUGCAGAGCCCAGGGUCAGGUGGCUCUGAGCAGUGAGAGGAGCUGGGUCGGACCAGGCCAGCUUGCUUGCUCCUCUAGCCUCCUUACCACCCUCUUGUCCCAGAAUGCCUCGUUGUUUUUUUUCUGGCUUCGUUCUAAGAGAGAGGAGUGUGAAACCCCAGCACAGGUGCAUUUACCAGUAGGGUGGAGCAGAAACGGGCCCCAUGUUCACCCGCUGCCCAGGGGUCUGCAGCUCACCCAUGUCAAGUCUGGGUCUCACCAGCUGGUGGCAUUCAGGUCUCUGUUGAGUGGCUGUGGCUGGCGAGUGUGGCUGACCGGUUCUGACCUGGUGCCGCCUCUGCAGUGACCUUGGCUGGGUUCUCUGCAGGGGGUGCCCCUCCCCUUCUUCUGUCAGCUCAUGUCUUUGCAGUGAGGCCUCAGGAUGUACUCAGGGGUCUUUCUGGAGGACAACCCUAAUCCUGAGGCCCUUCAAGUUCAGGGUGCAACACAGCUGUGGGCUCCUCAUACUGACUUCUGCUCCCUCUCUCUUUGAAGGAAUUCUGCCACCUUCAAGUCGCUUGAAGACCGAGUUGGGACCAUAAAGUCUAAGGUGGUGGGUGGCAGAGAGAAUGGCAAUGACAGCUUUCCCUCCCCGACUGAGAGUGGCGACAAGCCCCUGCCCGAUCACGUGCCCUUCUAAGCCUGAAGCAGCUUUGCCGGGCAGGGAGCCAGUGCAGGUACGCCCUCCUCGCCACGACAGCCACUGCGCAAGGGAGCACCAGCAGCUGCAGGAGGACGUGGAGCGGCUUUGAGGACAGUCAUGCCAUCACAUGUAGACGUGGCCCCUGCACACGCAUGACUUAGAGAACAGCCUUGUGUACAGAUGCUUCACACUAAAGUCGUAGCUGCAGCCAUCA
This is a long non-coding RNA of Myotis davidii, 1037 nucleotides long. RefSeq lists it as uncharacterized. Lineage: Eukaryota; Metazoa; Chordata; Mammalia; Chiroptera; Vespertilionidae. The transcript has 2 exons. The record is from RefSeq and is a predicted model, not a curated record.